AGAGUUUGAUUAUGGCUCAGGAUGAACGCUGGCGGCGUGCUUAACACAUGCAAGUCGAACGAAUAACCCACCUCCGGGUGGUUAUAGAGUGGCGAACGGGUGAGUAACACGUGACCAACCUACCUCUCACUCCGGGAUAACCCAGAGAAAUCUGCGCUAAUACCGGAUACUCCGGGCACCUCGCAUGGGGAGCCCGGGAAAGCCCCGACGGUGGGAGAUGGGGUCGCGGCCUAUUAGAUAGUUGGUGGGGUAACGGCCUACCAAGUCGACGAUAGGUAGCCGGGUUGAGAGACCGAUCGGCCACAUUGGGACUGAGAUACGGCCCAG
Molecule: ribosomal RNA, 327 nt
Filed under: uncultured bacterium
Lineage: Bacteria
Description: bacterial SSU rRNA
Rfam family: Bacterial small subunit ribosomal RNA
Source: RNAcentral